RNAcentral lists this non-coding RNA (23 nucleotides) under Cricetulus griseus (Chinese hamster). Lineage: Eukaryota; Metazoa; Chordata; Mammalia; Rodentia; Cricetidae. The record is from RNAcentral.
CAAAUGGGUGGAGAUUUCUAAUG